RNAcentral lists this ribosomal RNA (484 nucleotides) under uncultured bacterium. RNAcentral describes it as "partial 16S ribosomal RNA". It matches the Rfam family "Bacterial small subunit ribosomal RNA", at positions 28 to 523 of the family's 1533-position model. The record is from RNAcentral.
GACGAACGCUGGCGGCGUGCUUAACACAUGCAAGUCGAACGAUGAACCCGGAGCUUGCUCCGGUGGAUUAGUGGCGAACGGGUGAGUAACACGUGAGUAACCUGCCCUUGACUCUGGGAUAACUGCGGGAAACUGUAGCUAAUACCGGAUACGACCCUCGGCGGCAUCGCCAGGGGGUGGAAAGAAUUUCGGUCAAGGAUGGACUCGCGGCCUAUCAGCUAGUUGGUGAGGUAACGGCUCACCAAGGCGACGACGGGUAGCCGGCCUUAGAGGGUGCUCGGCAACACUGGGAAUGGGACCAGGCCCAGACUCAUACGGGUGGCAGCAGUGGGGAAUAUUGCUCAAUGGGCGCAAGCCUGAUGCAGCAACGCCGCGUGAGGAAUGACGGCCUUCGGGUUGUAAACCUCUUUUAGUAGGGAAGAAGCGAAAGUGACGGUACCUGCAGAAAAAGCACCGGCUAACUACGUGCCAGCAGCCGCCGUAA